Molecule: ribosomal RNA, 309 nt
Filed under: uncultured bacterium
Lineage: Bacteria
Description: partial 16S ribosomal RNA
Rfam family: Bacterial small subunit ribosomal RNA
Source: RNAcentral
AGAGACAGCAGUCGCCACGGUAAUACGUAGGGGGCAGGCGUUAUCCGGAAUUACUGGGUGUAAAGGGAGCGUAGACGGUUAAACAAGUCUGAAGUGAAAUGCCAGGGCUCAACCCCGGAGCUGCUUUGGGAACUGUAGAACUGGAGUGUCGGAGGGGUAAGCGGAAUUCCCAGUGUAGCGGUGAAAUGCGUAGAUAUUGGGAGGAACACCGGCGGCGAAGGCGGCUUACUGGACGACAACUGACGUUGAGGCUCGAAGGCGUGGGUAGCAAACAGGAUUAGAUACCCCCGUAGUCCCUGUCUCUUAUAC